Molecule: ribosomal RNA, 702 nt
Filed under: Triticum aestivum (bread wheat)
Lineage: Eukaryota; Viridiplantae; Streptophyta; Magnoliopsida; Poales; Poaceae
Description: partial small subunit ribosomal RNA
Source: RNAcentral
GGAGAGAGAGGAAUAGGGAAGUGUGCGUCGGAUGGGUAGCUUCGGUGGCGUAUGGUGCGGCGUUCGGCGGCGGCGUUCAGCGGACUUCCGGAGUACGGCGUCAGCGGCGAGCGGGGAAAGAGACAUCCAGCGGUUGCGUUGGGAGCCGGGGUCCCAGCAAGGGAGGAGGGGUGGUCCGAGCUCCUCCGGGCUCCUCCGCCGGUACUCCUCGCGCGUCGGCGGCCUCAGGACCCGUCUAGAUCGGCCCCGGCAGCCGUCGAUCGGUAGGGAAGGAGGCCCGCCGGUACUUCUUAACUUCGCCGAACUCGUCUUGAUCGCGUACCUGGUACGCGUGGAGGGCGGGAUCCUCGGUGGCCAGGAGCAGUAGACGAUAGUAGGUGCUCCUUAGGUAGGUAUAUAGGUUUUCUUCCUAUUAACUCAACGUCGACUCAAGAGGCUAACCUACUUCGUAUAUUUUGAUCUUCUAAAAUGAAUCGUUAUUGGUAUCAAAUGUAAAUAUCUAACUUUUUACAUUACGGUAAGUGUUCUGGAAAAAGAAACCAGCUUAACUACAUUUACGAUACUACAUUAUAAGAAGUAUCCGCACAAGAAUAUCAGUUUAACUAUGCUUACUAUACAACAACGUGGUUAUUGUAACCAUAAAUAAAUAACAUUACGUAUACAUAGGGCGUGAGAACAUAUAAGUAUUAUUUAUGGAAACUA